GGAGUCAGCCAGACCGCCGCUGGUGCAAGUGCCGAAAGGCCGCACUGGAGGAAGGUCCGGACUGCAUAGAGCAGCGUAGCGGGUAACGCCCGUCCACCGCGAGGUGCGAAUCAGAGCCACAGAGACGAGUCGGCAGUGGGCGCUUCGGCGCCUGGGUUCCUUGGCAUGCCAGGGGACGACGCUGCCGGGUGAAACGCGGCAAUCUUUACGCGCAGCAACACCAAAUAGGCCAGCUUUGACGCGGCUCGCUGAGCUGGCGGGUAGGUGGCACCGAGCCGGGGCGGCAACGUCCUGGCCCAGAGGAAUGGCGGUCACGCCGGGUCCGCGAGGGCCUGGUGCACAGAAUCCGGCCUAUCGGCUGGCUCCACAC
RNAcentral lists this RNase P RNA (370 nucleotides) under Ideonella livida. RNAcentral's name for it is "Bacterial RNase P class A". It matches the Rfam family "Bacterial RNase P class A". Rfam says of the family: Ribonuclease P (RNase P) is a ubiquitous endoribonuclease, found in archaea, bacteria and eukarya as well as chloroplasts and mitochondria. Its best characterised activity is the generation of mature 5'-ends of tRNAs by cleaving the 5'-leader elements of precursor-tRNAs. The record is from Rfam by way of RNAcentral. Lineage: Bacteria; Pseudomonadati; Pseudomonadota; Betaproteobacteria; Burkholderiales; Sphaerotilaceae.